This 265-nucleotide ribosomal RNA is filed under the name uncultured bacterium. RNAcentral describes it as "partial 16S ribosomal RNA". It matches the Rfam family "Bacterial small subunit ribosomal RNA", at positions 1053 to 1319 of the family's 1533-position model. The record is from RNAcentral.
CGUCAGCUCGUGUCGUGAGAUGUUGGGUUAAGUCCCGCAACGAGCGCAACCCUUGUCUUUAACUGCCAUCAUUCAGUUGGGCACUUUAAAGAGACUGCCGGUGUCAAACCGGAGGAAGGUGGGGAUGACGUCAAGUCCUCAUGGCCUUUAUGUCCAGGGCUACACACGUGCUACAAUGGGCGGUACAAAGAGCAGCAAGCUCGCGAGAGUAAGCAAAUCUCAAAAAGCCGUCCUCAGUUCGGAUUGGAGUCUGCAACUCGACUCC